CAUUGGAGGGCAGUCUGGUGCCAGCAGCCGCGGUAAUUCCAGCUCCAAUAGCGUAUAUUAAACUUGUUGCAGUUAAAAAGCUCGUAGUUGAAUUUCUGCGUUGCCCGACUCGGCUACUUGCCUUGUCUGGUUUCGCUUUUGGGGUUUUCCCCUUUUUACUUUGAGAAAAUUAGAGUGUUUCAAGCAGACUUGUGUCUUGAAUACUUCAGCAUGGAAUAAUAAAGUAGGACUUUGGUUCUAUUUUGUUGGUUUGUGAACCUUAGUAAUGGUUAAUAGGAACGGUUGGGGGCAUUCGUAUUUAACUGUCAGAGGUGAAAUUCUUAGAUUUGUUAAAGACGAACUACUGCGAAAGCAUUUGCCAAGGACGUUUUCAUUAAUCAAGAACGAAAGUUAGGGGAUCGAAGACGAUCAGAUACCGUCGUAGUCCUAACCAUAAACCAUGCCGACUAGGGAUU
RNAcentral lists this ribosomal RNA (455 nucleotides) under Babesia gibsoni. RNAcentral describes it as "SSU rRNA". It matches the Rfam family "Eukaryotic small subunit ribosomal RNA", at positions 546 to 1054 of the family's 1831-position model. Lineage: Eukaryota; Apicomplexa; Aconoidasida; Piroplasmida; Babesiidae. The record is from RNAcentral.